This 1367-nucleotide ribosomal RNA is filed under the name uncultured bacterium. RNAcentral's name for it is "bacterial SSU rRNA". It matches the Rfam family "Bacterial small subunit ribosomal RNA", at positions 28 to 1381 of the family's 1533-position model. The record is from RNAcentral.
GAUGAACGCUGGCGGCGUGCCUGAGAUAUGCAAGUCGAGCGUCCCUGUACCGAGCUCCGCUCUGGUACGGGGUAGCGGCGGACGGCUGAGUAACACGUAGGAACCUGCCCCUCAGUGGGGGAUAGCCUCGGGAAACCGGGGGUAAUCCCCCAUAGUCCCUGAACCGAGCUCUGCUCUGGUUUGGGGUAAAGGGCGUAACUGCCCGCUGAGGGAGGGGCCUGCGGCCCAUCAGGUAGUUGGUAGGGUAACGGCCUACCAAGCCUAUGACGGGUAGCCGGCCUGAGAGGGUGGUCGGCCAGAGGGGCACUGAGACACGGGCCCCAGCCCUACGGGGCGCAGCAAUCAGGAAUCGUGGCAAUGGGCGAAAGCCUGACCCCGCGACGCCGCGUGCGGGAAGGCGCUCUUCGGAGUGUAAACCGCUGUGGUAGGGGAGGAAGUCCCGAGUUACUCGGGAUUGACAGUACCCUACUAGAAAGAGGUCGCUAACUGCGUGCCAGAAGCGUCGGUAAAACGUGGACCUCAAGCGUUAUCCGGUCUUACUGGGCGUAAAGGGUCGCGUAGGCGGCUAAGAAAGUCUUGGCUCAAAGUCCGGGACUCAAUUCCGGAAAGGGCCAAGAGACUUCUUAGCUCGAGGUCACUCAAGGGAGACUGGAACUCCGGGAGGAGCGGUGAAAUGCGUUGAUACCCGGAGGAACACCAGUGGCGAAGGCGAGUCUCUGGGAGUGUCCUGACGCCGAGGCACUAAAGCUAGGGGAGCGAACCGGAUUAGAGACCCGGGUAGUCCUAGCCCUAAACGCAUGCUGGCUAGCUGCAUUUCCCCGAGUUCUCGGGGGGGUGUGGCGAAGCUAACGCGUUAAGCCAGCCGCCUGGGGAGCACGGCCGCAAGGCUGAAACUCAAAGGAAUUGGCGGGGAGGCACACAACCAGUGGAGCAUGUGGUUCAAUUCGAGACGAACCGAAGAACCUCACCAGGGCUUGACAUCCCGCUGCACGCCCCGCGAAAGCGGGGAAGCCUUCGAGGGGUGCGGGACAGGUGCUGCAUGGCUGUCGUCAGCUCGUUCCGUGAGGAGUGCCCUUAAGUGGGACAACGAGCGCAACCCCCGCCCUGUGUUAUAUGUGUCACAGGGGACUGCCCCUCGAGUAUUCGGGGGGAGGAAGGAGGGGUCGACGUCAAGUCAGCAUGGCCCUUAUGCCCUGGGCUACACACAUGCUACAAUGGGUAGGACAAUGGGUUGCGAACCCGCGAGGGGGAGCUAAUCCCACAAACCUACCCGUAGUGGGGAUUGGGGUCUGAAACUCGACCCCAUGAACGCGGAAUUGGUAGUAAUCGGGGAUCAGCCAUGCCUCGGUGAAUACGUUCUUGCCUCU